AUUGAACGCUGGCGGCAUGCUUUACACAUGCAAGUCGAACGGUAACGGGCCUUCGGGUGCUGACGAGUGGCGAACGGGUGAGUAAUGCAUCGGAACGUGCCCAGAGGUGGGGGAUAAUGCAGCGAAAGCUGUGCUAAUACCGCAUGUGAUCUGAGGAUGAAAGCGGGGGACCAAGCAGCAAUGUUUGGCCUCGCGCCUCUGGAGCGGCCGAUGUCAGAUUAGGUAGUUGGUGGGGUAAAGGCCUACCAAGCCGACGAUCUGUAGCUGGUCUGAGAGGACGACCAGCCACACUGGGACUGAGACACGGCCCAGACUCCUACGGGAGGCAGCAGUGGGGAAUUUUGGACAAUGGGCGCAAGCCUGAUCCAGCAAUGCCGCGUGCGGGAAGAAGGCCUUCGGGUUGUAAACCGCUUUUGUACGGAACGAAAAGGCUCUGGCUAAUACCUGGGGCUGAUGACGGUACCGUAAGAAUAAGCACCGGCUAACUACGUG
This 492-nucleotide ribosomal RNA is filed under the name uncultured bacterium. Its description in RNAcentral is "partial 16S ribosomal RNA". It matches the Rfam family "Bacterial small subunit ribosomal RNA", at positions 30 to 507 of the family's 1533-position model. The record is from RNAcentral.